AGCUCGACCGGGUCCACACCGCGGGUGACGGUCAGAUAGUCACGGAUCGCGAUGCCGUGCCGGCCCUC
Molecule: small RNA, 68 nt
Filed under: Actinoplanes campanulatus
Lineage: Bacteria; Bacillati; Actinomycetota; Actinomycetes; Micromonosporales; Micromonosporaceae
Description: ASdes TB sRNA
Rfam family: ASdes TB sRNA
Source: Rfam by way of RNAcentral